RNAcentral lists this microRNA precursor (86 nucleotides) under Frigoribacterium faeni. RNAcentral's name for it is "microRNA MIR1846". It matches the Rfam family "MIR1846 microRNA precursor family", at positions 1 to 86 of the family's 110-position model. Lineage: Bacteria; Bacillati; Actinomycetota; Actinomycetes; Micrococcales; Microbacteriaceae. The record is from RNAcentral.
CCGCGCCGCGGACGCACCGAGCCGAGGAGGCGCGGGUCGAGAGGUCUCGACCCGCGCCUCCUCGGCUCCCUCCGUCGUCGACGGGA